Molecule: small nuclear RNA, 18 nt
Filed under: Arabidopsis thaliana (thale cress)
Lineage: Eukaryota; Viridiplantae; Streptophyta; Magnoliopsida; Brassicales; Brassicaceae
Description: snRNA_18621
Source: RNAcentral
AGGCAAGGGAAGUCGGCA